This 23-nucleotide microRNA is filed under the name Equus caballus (horse). Its description in RNAcentral is "eca-miR-1543". The record is from miRBase by way of RNAcentral. Lineage: Eukaryota; Metazoa; Chordata; Mammalia; Perissodactyla; Equidae.
UUGGUCCUAGUCUGGGUGCAAAC